AUUGAACGCUGGCGGCAGGCCUAACACAUGCAAGUCGAGCGGAUGAAGGGAGCUUGCUCCUGGAUUUAGCGGCGGACGGGUGAGUAAUGCCUAGGAAUCUGCCUGGUAGUGGGGGAUAACGUCCGGAAACGGGCGCUAAUACCGCAUACGUCCUGAGGGAGAAAGUGGGGGAUCUUCGGACCUCACGCUAUCAGAUGAGCCUAGGUCGGAUUAGCUAGUUGGUGGGGUAAAGGCCUACCAAGGCGACGAUCCGUAACUGGUCUGAGAGGAUGAUCAGUCACACUGGAACUGAGACACGGUCCAGACUCCUACGGGAGGCAGCAGUGGGGAAUAUUGGACAAUGGGCGAAAGCCUGAUCCAGCCAUGCCGCGUGGGUGAAGAAGGUCUUCGGAUUGUAAAGCACUUUAAGUUGGGAGGAAGGGCAGUAAGUUAAUACCUUGCUGUUUUGACGUUACCAACAGAAUAAGCACCGGCUAACUUCGUG
RNAcentral lists this ribosomal RNA (484 nucleotides) under uncultured bacterium. RNAcentral describes it as "partial 16S ribosomal RNA". It matches the Rfam family "Bacterial small subunit ribosomal RNA", at positions 30 to 507 of the family's 1533-position model. The record is from RNAcentral.